Molecule: long non-coding RNA, 284 nt
Filed under: Capsicum annuum
Lineage: Eukaryota; Viridiplantae; Streptophyta; Magnoliopsida; Solanales; Solanaceae
Description: long non-coding RNA (CANN_LNC005062)
Source: RNAcentral
AAAAUAAAAAUAGUAUUUUCUAAUCUAGGAAGAAGAUAUAAGAAAAUAGGUGAACAUUUAUAUCUAAUGUUAGAAAAAGAAGAAUUAAAAUUAGAAGAUAAAUUGACAGCAAUGGUAAGAAUAGAAAGAGAAAAUGAAGAGAUAGAUAGGAAAAAAGAAAUAGAAAAAAUAAAACAACAAACUACGGAAGAAAUACGAAAAAUAGAAGAAACUAAAAAUAGUAGGAUUGCUGAAUUAGAAAAAGAACUACAAAUGUUAAAAGAACUGUAUGAACAAAGGCAAAA